Small nuclear RNA from Kogia breviceps (pygmy sperm whale), 107 nucleotides. The record is from RefSeq and is a predicted model, not a curated record. NCBI's taxonomy places the organism in Eukaryota, Metazoa, Chordata, Mammalia, Artiodactyla, Physeteridae.
AUGCUCGCUUCGGCAGCACGUAUACUAAAAUUGGAACGAUACAAAGAAAAUUAGCAUGGCCCUUGCGCAAGGAUGACAUGCAGAUUCAUGAAGUUCCUUGUUUCUUG